This 330-nucleotide long non-coding RNA is filed under the name Mytilus galloprovincialis (Mediterranean mussel). Lineage: Eukaryota; Metazoa; Mollusca; Bivalvia; Mytilida; Mytilidae. The record is from RNAcentral.
CGGAGCCUUAGCUCACACCGAACAAUAAGCUAUAAAGGGCCCCAAAAUUACUAGUGUAAAACCGUUCAAACGGGAAAACCAACGGUCUAAUCUAUAUAAACAAAACGAGAAACGAGAAACACGUAUAUAUUACAUAAACAAACGACAACUACUGUACAUCAGAUUCCUGACUUAGGACAGGUGCAAACAUUUGCAGCGGGAUUAAACGUUUUAAUGGAUCCAAACCUUCUCCCUUUUUCUGAAACAAUAGCAUAACAUCACAACAAAGAAAAACAUACGAUAAAAUAUCAAUUGGCAGACUUAACUCAAUCAAAAAAUGAUUAAACAAUG